GUGUGUGUAUGUGGGGAGAGUGACAGUGUGUGUGUGUGUGUGGGGAGAGUAACAGUGUGUGUGUGUGUGUAUGUGGGGAGAGUAACAGUGUGUGUGUGUGUGUGUGGGGAGAGUAACAGUGUGUGUGUAUGUGGGGAGAGUAUCAGUGUGUGUGUGUGUGUGUGUGUAUGUGGGGAGAGUAACAGUGUGUGUGUGUUUGUGGGGAGAGUAACAGUGUGAAUGUGGGGAGAGUAACAGUGUGUGUGUGUGUAUGUGGGGAGAGUAACAGUGUGUGUGUGUGUAUGUGGGGAGAGUGACAGUGUGUGUGUGUGUGUGUGUGAGUGUGUGUGUGUGUGUGUGUGUGUGUAUGUGAGGAGAGUAACAGUGUGUGUAUGUGGGGAGAGUAACAGUGUGUGUGUAUGUGGGGAGAGUGACAGUGUGUGUGUGUGUGUGUGGGGGGAGAGUAACAGUGUGUGUGUGUGUAUGUGGGGAGAGUGACAGUGUGUGUGUGUAUGUGAGGAGAGUAACAGUGUGUGUGUAUGUGGGGAGAGUAACAGUGUGUGUGUAUGUGAGGAGAGUAACAGUGUGUGUGUAUGUGGGGAGAGUGACAGUGUGUGUGUGUGUGGGGAGAAUGACAGUGUGUUUGUGUGUGUGGGGGGAGACUAACAGUGUGUGUGUAUGUUGGGAGAGUGACAUUGUGUGCGUGUGUGUGGGGGGAGAGUAACAGUGUGUGUGUGUGUAUGUGGGGAGAGUAACAGUGUGUGUGUAUGUGAGGGAGAGUAACAGUGUGUGUGUGUGUGUGGGGAGAGUAACAGUGUGUGUGUGUAUGUGGGGAGAGUAACAGUGUGUGUGUAUGUGGGGAGAGGAACAGUGUGUGUGUGUGUGUGGGGAGAGUAACAGUGUGUGUGUAUGUGGGGAGAGUAACAGUGUGUGUGUGUGUGUAUGGGGGAGAGUAACAGUGUGUGUGUAUGUGGGGAGAGUAACAGUGUGUGUGUAUGUGGGGAGAGUGACAGUGUGUGUGUAUGUGUGUGUGUGUGUAUGUGAGGAGAGUAACAGUGUGUGUGUGUAUGUGGGGAGAGUGACAGUGUGUGUGUAUGUGGGGAGAGUGACAGUGUGUGUGUGUGUGUGUGGAGGGAGAGUAACAGUGUGUGUGUGUGUGGGGGGAGUAACAGUGUGUGUGUGUGUGUGUGUGGGGAGAGUGUAACAGUGUGUGUGUGUGUGGGGAGAGUAACAGUGUGUGUGUAUGUGGGGAGAGUAACAGUGUGUGUGUGUGUGUGGGGAGAGUAACAGUGUGUGUGUGUGUGUGUGUGUAUGUGGGGAGAGUGACAGUGUGUGUGUGUGUGUGUGUGUGUGUGUGUGGGGAGAGUAACAGUGUGUGUGUAUGUGGGGAGAGUAACAGUGUGUGUGUGUGUGGGGAGAGUAACAGUGUGUGUGUGUGUGUAUGUGGGGAGAGUAACAGUGUGUGUGUGUGUGGGGAGAGUAACAGUGUGUGUGUGUGUAUGUGGGGAGAGUGACAGUGUGUGUGUGUGUGUGUGUGUGUGUGUGUGUGUGUGGGGAGAGUAACAGUGUGUGUGUAUGUGGGGAGAGUAACAGUGUGUGUGUAUGUGGGGAGUAACAGU
Oncorhynchus tshawytscha (Chinook salmon) is the source of this 1598-nucleotide long non-coding RNA. The record is from Ensembl. NCBI's taxonomy places the organism in Eukaryota, Metazoa, Chordata, Actinopteri, Salmoniformes, Salmonidae.